GGUUUUGUAGUGUAAUGGUUAGCACAUCGGAUUCUGAUGCUUAUCAUUCCGGUAAUGGCGGUUCGAUUCCGCCCAAGACCU
Non-coding RNA from Periconia macrospinosa, 81 nucleotides. The record is from the annotation of a GenBank genome assembly. Lineage: Eukaryota; Fungi; Ascomycota; Dothideomycetes; Pleosporales; Periconiaceae.